GUUUGGCACCUCGAUGUCGGCUCAUCGCAUCCUGGGGCUGAAGGCGGUCCCAAGGGUUAGGCUGUUCGCCUAUUAAAGCGGUACGCGAGCUGGGUUCAGACCGGCGUGAGCCAGGUCGGUCCCUAUCUGUCGUGGGCGCUGCACAUUUGAGAGGAGUCUUCCUUAGUACGAGAGGAUUAGGAAGGACGAACCCCUGGUGAUCCAGCUGUCGCGCUAGCGGCACCGCUGGGUAGCUAAGUUCGGCAGGGAUAACCGCUGAAAGCAUCUAAGCGGGAAGCCCCCCUCAAGAUGAGAUGUGCUUG
This 302-nucleotide ribosomal RNA is filed under the name Alexandrium margalefii. RNAcentral describes it as "partial Bacterial large subunit ribosomal RNA". It matches the Rfam family "Bacterial large subunit ribosomal RNA", at positions 2516 to 2817 of the family's 2925-position model. Lineage: Eukaryota; Dinophyceae; Gonyaulacales; Pyrocystaceae. The record is from RNAcentral.